CCUGCUUGCCCUUGGGCAGGUCAUUUGCCUUGAACAGAUUUCUGAAUAAGAAAAUCCCUUUCCCUUUUAUCACGUUUGAGAAGAUCGUGACAGACACGCGUCUGUUUACACGGCCAGGCAGGCCCGUUUUGCUCAUCCCUUGGCAAACUGCCACCCAGUGAUGAAUUUCAGAGGCGUAAGAAUGUGGCUGAAAGCAAGAAUGUGGGCACAGGCUCCCGCUGAGGUCACCACAUGCGAGAUGUUAAUGAAGAUACCUCUUUAAAAAAUUGCCGUAGGAGAUCCCUGGUGGCUCAGUGGGUUAAAGAUCCAGUGUUGUCACCGCUGUGGCGCAGUUUCAAUCCCUGACCGUGGAACUUGUAUGUGACGCAGGUACAGCAAAAAAAAAAAAAAAAAAAAAAUUACUGGCAUUCCCAUCCUGGCUCAGUGGUAAUGAACCUGACUAGUAUCCAUGAGGAAUCGGGUUCGAUCC
Molecule: long non-coding RNA, 469 nt
Filed under: Sus scrofa (pig)
Lineage: Eukaryota; Metazoa; Chordata; Mammalia; Artiodactyla; Suidae
Description: lncRNA (ENSSSCG00070013591.1)
Source: RNAcentral